GCUGUAUAAGAAUUUUGCAAUGUCAACUGUGAAGUUUGAAUUGGAUAAUCUUUCUCCUGAAGGAUUCAGACAUGAGCAUGCUUCCAGCUCAGAUUUUGCUUUAACCUGCUUGACUGAACUUUCUGGUGAUUCUAGUCAAUGGGAACUUCAGCACUCCAGUUCUGUCCCUGUUGGUAUUGAGCUAGGUGAGAAAGUACAGGAAGAGAGACUGAAAAGAACAUUAUAUACAAGGU
RNAcentral lists this long non-coding RNA (233 nucleotides) under Bos mutus (wild yak). RNAcentral describes it as "lncRNA (ENSBMUG00000024141.1)". The record is from RNAcentral. Lineage: Eukaryota; Metazoa; Chordata; Mammalia; Artiodactyla; Bovidae.